UACGGAGGGUGCAAGCGUUGUCCGGAAUCACUGGGCGUAAAGGGCGCGUAGGCGGCUCAUGAAGGCUGUGGUGAAAGUCCGGGGCUCAACCUCGGAUCGGCCGUGGCGACUCGUGGGCUGGAGCACUGUAGAGGCGGGUGGAAUUCCGGGUGUAGCGGUGGAAUGCGUAGAGAUCCGGAAGAACACCAAUUGCGAAGGCAGCUUACUAUGGUUUGAUUGACACUGAGGCACGAAAGCGUGGGGAUCAAACAGG
This 253-nucleotide ribosomal RNA is filed under the name uncultured bacterium. Its description in RNAcentral is "partial 16S ribosomal RNA". It matches the Rfam family "Bacterial small subunit ribosomal RNA", at positions 524 to 776 of the family's 1533-position model. The record is from RNAcentral.